Hydra vulgaris (swiftwater hydra) is the source of this 1194-nucleotide long non-coding RNA. RefSeq lists it as uncharacterized. Lineage: Eukaryota; Metazoa; Cnidaria; Hydrozoa; Anthoathecata; Hydridae. The record is from RefSeq and is a predicted model, not a curated record.
GCGCUUAGUAUUUAUCAUAACAGUUAUUAAGACUCAUAAACAUAUAAUGACAAAGCAGCUAAAAGUAUAUAAUCCAUCUAAUGAUAAAAAGAAACGGGAAUUUUUAAAUUAGUUUUUGUAACUUUGAAAAAAAAAGUACACAUCUUUUUCAGGGUCGUGACCUGUAUGUUUUCAGAGUUAGGUGCUGUUCUUAGCCUAAUACUUUAAAAUUCUCAUAUUUAAACUAAUUAAAUUUUGAUUCGAACAAGAAAUUUUAACUUUUAAAAUAACACUUAUUUAGUUUUAAUGCAAAGAAAUUACACUCUUAAGUUUAAAACUUUUCUGAAUCCUAGUUAAUGAACGUCAUUGUACAUUGACGCAAUAACUGCAUUAACUUUCUUUCGUCUUUAAAAUAAGUAUUGAUUUGGUUGUUAUUUCAUAGCGUUAUAUCAACAUUUAAAUUAACGAGGCUAGAUAAGAUGUCAGCUUCGGUUAAUUGCAAAGUUUCUUUCAAACGACGAAAAAUAUAGAAAUAGUAAUUGUUGUUUGUAACGUAUCAUACGCUAGUAGGACUUAUCAUCAACCAUUGACAUAAGUUACGUAUGUCAAUUGAAAACUACCAUGAAAAUGAGACUAAUAUAUUUAUUAGUCUCAUUUUCAUUUUAGUCGCGAAAAUAUAUUUAUAUGAUUAUACAUCAAUAAAAUAUUUCAAUACUUAGAUAAAUAUCAACAUGCAUAUAAUUGUUGUAAUUUAUCCAUCUUAUUAUUUUUCUUACUAUACUUUGUUCUGCACUACUUGUUUUACUCGAAGUAAAAAUGGAUGGAUGUCCUUCAGGGUUAGACCAGUUAGAACCAGACAUAACCUACUCUGGCCGAUCAAGAGAUAACAAUGAGGAAGAUGAAAAAAACAUCCUCAUGAAAUGCUUUUUCGUGGACUUUUUAGAGCAAAUUUAUAACCGCAAAGCAACAAAAAAAAAACGAAAAUUAAAAUCAUUUUUAUUAACUUGACCAACAGUGGCACAGCGUUUAGAACUCUGGCUCAGAACCAAAAGGUUGGUGGUUAGACACCGGCUCUAGCUCAAUAGACGUCAUUGGCAAGGAAGGAGACGUGAAUUUCCUGGUUGAGUGCUCUUCAACGGUGCUCUGCGAAAAAAUUGAUAGGUCUUUUAGGAACAACUUAAUAACUUUAAAAAAAAUUAAUAACAAUUUUGACAA